RNAcentral lists this ribosomal RNA (591 nucleotides) under Gloeoporus pannocinctus. RNAcentral's name for it is "eukaryotic LSU rRNA". It matches the Rfam family "Eukaryotic large subunit ribosomal RNA", at positions 73 to 647 of the family's 3401-position model. The record is from RNAcentral. Lineage: Eukaryota; Fungi; Basidiomycota; Agaricomycetes; Polyporales; Irpicaceae.
GAUUCCCCUAGUAACUGCGAGUGAAGCGGGAAAAGCUCAAAUUUAAAAUCUGGCAGUCUUUGGCUGUCCGAGUUGUAGUCUAGAGAAGUGUUUUCCGCGCUGGACCGUGUACAAGUCUCUUGGAACAGAGCGUCAUAGAGGGUGAGAAUCCCGUCCAUGACACGGACUACCAGUGCUUUGUGAUGCGCUCUCAAAGAGUCGAGUUGUUUGGGAAUGCAGCUCAAAAUGGGUGGUAAAUUCCAUCUAAAGCUAAAUAUUGGCGAGAGACCGAUAGCGAACAAGUACCGUGAGGGAAAGAUGAAAAGCACUUUGGAAAGAGAGUUAAACAGUACGUGAAAUUGCUGAAAGGGAAACGAUUGAAGUCAGUCGCGUUAUUCAGAACUCAGCCUUGCCUUGGCAUGGUGCAUUUUCUGUUUAACGGGCCAGCAUCAGUUUUGAUUGCCGGAAAAAGGUCAGAGGAAUGUGGCACCUUCGGGUGUGUUAUAGCCUCUGAUUGUAUACGGUGGUUGGGACUGAGGAUCGCAGCACGCCUUUAUGGCCGGGGUUCGCCCACGUUCGUGCUUAGGAUGCUGGCGUAAUGGCUUUAAACGG